UUUCUCCUAAGGGCUCGAAAUCUCCUCACCAUGCUCUGGACUUCCCUCAUCGUCCUACUAGGAACGUGGUGCACAGGUUCCAGCUCGCAGACUGUGGUGACUCAGCCGCCCUCAGUGUCAGUGUCCCCAGGAAACACCGUGAAACUCUCCUGCGCCUUGAGCAGUGGGACCAGCAUCGGUGACUACUAUGUGUCCUGGUACCAGCAGAAAUCUGGGAAUUCUCCCCGAUACCUGCUGUAUUACUAUACGGAUUCCAGCAAGGGCCAGGGCUCUGGGGUCCCUGCUCGCUUCUCUGGUUCCAAAGACACGUCCAGUAACGCCGGCUAUUUAACCAUCUCCGGGGCCCUGGCAGAAGACGAGGCUGAUUAUUACUGUUCUGUGAUAAAGAGUGGCACUGCUGUUCCACACAGUGACACAGACACAUGGGGAAGUGAGACAAAAACACCCUUCCCUCCUCUCCCCGGCCUGGGCCCUGUGUGCACAGUUCACCAGUUUCUCAGUUUUGUCUCUGGCUGUGACAAAUCACACAGCUGUUUAUGACCAGGAAAUUCAGUCCAUACAGCUAUUUCCGGCUCCCUCCUCAUUCUCCUUCUGCAGGAUGGGGACUAUCACCUUCUUCUCCCUAAGAGUCAGCAUCCCCUCUGCUAUCAGAGUGGGGAGCAGAGACAACACUCCUAUCACAGCCGUAAGUGUCAGCACAAUUUAAUUCCUUCUCAGAUCUUCCCCAAGGCCUGCAGCAAAGACAAUGGAGUCAGGCCUUGAAAUUUCUGAUGCAGAAACACAUCAGAGGCAGAGGGGUGGAUGGGUAUAGAGGGGAAUGGGGCAUGAGGCACCAGACAUAAGGAAACCAAGGGCUAUUCAGGUGGCAUCACUGGUUGAGAGCGGUUGGCAGGGAAGAUUUCUGAGCUCAGUUUUGCGCACUGUGAGCUUGACACCAGAUGAGCCAUCAAAGGGC
This is a non-coding RNA of Chrysemys picta bellii (western painted turtle), 955 nucleotides long. The record is from the annotation of a RefSeq genome assembly. Lineage: Eukaryota; Metazoa; Chordata; Testudines; Emydidae.